Molecule: RNA transcript, 2232 nt
Organism: Leopardus geoffroyi (Geoffroy's cat)
Lineage: Eukaryota; Metazoa; Chordata; Mammalia; Carnivora; Felidae
Gene: WDR41
Gene name: WD repeat domain 41
Exons: 14
Source: RefSeq, a predicted model, not a curated record
AGGCCUCCGCGCGUGCUCACUGGGUGCUACGCGUGCCUGUGAAUCCCCUCCGCCAUUCUAGCUUUUGGCUGCCCCAAACCAAGCCUCUGUGUCUGAGUAGGGCAGCGCUUUGGGGACACAAAUAUUCCCUUUUCUUUGGGCUUCGCCUUGUACUUCUUCGUUCCCAGGGCAAAUCUGGGGCGGCAAGUAUUAGUGUCUCCAUUGCGCUGCUGCCCAGGAGAUAGAAGGCUGAGCCCCGCACAGAGUUCAGGCUGACUGGGUCCUGGGCCCAGCGAGAAGCUGCCGCUGCCCGGAUGUUGCGAUGGCUGAUCGGGGGAGGCCGAGAACCUCAGGGACUGGCCGAGAAAUCUCCCUUACAGACAAUAGGUGAAGAACAAACCCAGAAUCCCUACACUGAACUGCUUGUACUGAAAGCUCAUCAUGAUAUUGUACGGUUUCUGGUACAGUUAGAUGAAUACAGGUUUGCAUCUGCUGGUGAUGAUGGAAUUGUAGUUGUGUGGAAUGCCCAGACAGGAGAAAAACUUCUGGAACUUAAUGGGCACACUCAGAAGAUAACAGCCAUUAUUACAUUCCCUUCCUUGGAAGUUUGUGAAGAAAAGAAUCAACUGAUCUUGACAGCCUCUGCUGAUAGAACAGUUAUUGUAUGGGAUUGUGAUACUGGCAGACAAGUUCAGAAAGUAUCAUGCUUCCAGUCUACUGUAAAGUGCUUAAUUGUUCUUCAGAGACUAGAUAUUUGGCUCUCUGGUGGGAAUGACCUAUGUGUGUGGAACCGAAAAUUAGAUCUCCUAUGUAAGACCAGCCACCUUUCUGAUACAGGGAUCAGUGCUUUGAUUGAAAUACCUAAGAACUGUGUUGUGGCAGCAGUUGGCAAAGAACUGAUAAUUUUCAGGUUGGUAACACCAACAGGAGAAUCACUGGAAUGGGAUAUUCUUGAAAUUAAGCGCCUCCUUGAUCACCAGGAUAAUAUUCUCUCCUUGGUUAAUGUCAAUGAUUUGAGUUUUGUAACUGGCUCCCAUGUUGGAGAAAUGAUCAUCUGGAAUAUUCUGGACUGGACAGUGCAGGCCCGUGAAUGCAACUUCUGGGACCCAUCUCCACAGCUGGACACCCAACAAGAAAUAAAACUCUGUCAAAAACCUAAUGACAUUUCUGUUCAUCACUUCACAUGGGAUGAAGAGAAUGUAUUUGCUGCCGUUGGAAGGGGUUUAUAUGUGUAUAACCUUCAAAUGAAGCGUGUGAUUGCUUGCCAGAAAACUGCCCAUGACUCCAGUGUCCUGCACAUUGCCAAACUUCCAAACAGGCAGUUAAUCUCAUGCUCGGAAGAUGGCAGUGUACGCAUUUGGGAGUUAAGAGAAAAACAGCAGCUUGCAGCUGAACCUGUACCAACAGGUUUUUUUAACAUGUGGGGAUUUGGAAGAGUAAACAAACAAGCCAGCCAACCUGUUAAAAAGCAACAGGAAAAUGCCACUCCGUGUUCAUUGGAGCUUAUUGGAGAUUUGAUUGGACACUCCUCAUCUGUGGAGAUGUUUCUGUACUUUGAAGAUCAUGGACUAGUGACUUGUUCUGCUGAUCAUCUCAUUAUUUUGUGGAAAAAUGGAGAAAGAGAAUCUGGAUUGCGCAGUUUAAAAUUAUUUCAAAAACUGGAGGAGAAUGGUGACUUACAUCUUGCUGUGUAGUUGAAGGAAUUUGGAAUACUUGUGCAUGAACCUUGAACAUCAAAUAUAGGUUUCCAGUGUUCUGCAUUCCAAUUCAGUCUCUAUUUAUACCUCUGAAAAAUGCAGCAUGGAGUACAGAGGAUUUGAAAAGAAAAUGAAGCUAUUUUGUUUAUGGAGUUUCUAAUAUUUACAAUACAUAGAGAACAGGUGGCCGGUAAAAGAGAAAGGAAAAUCUCAAGUCUGACUUUAUGGAGAUCACAGAAAGUUUUCAAAAGAGCUGUAUAAAAAUAUGCACUUGUGCUUUAGAAGCUUUUAGCAUACAAUUAAUAGCUUAAAAUAGUAUUUACUGCUUCCCCUUACGUCUGUUUUCUGAUAUAUUUACACACCUUGCAGUCUUUUCUGUUUUACAUCAUUAAAGCAAAAUGGCAAGGUCUCAAAUAUAGAUUAAAAACAUCUGAACCCUGAAACUUCCCCAUCCCUCCCCAAAUACAUUAUGUAUAGAUGGUACACUGCGUAACAUACUCCAUGGACUUGUACCCAGGAAAUUCAGAUUGCUUUAAUAAAAAUUUUAAACUGUGAA